GACGAACGCUGGCGGCGUGCUUAACACAUGCAAGUCGAGCGGUAAGGCCCUUUCGGGGUACGACGAGCGGCGAACGGUGAGUAACACGUGGGUGACCUGCCCUCAGCUCUGGGAGUAAAGACCUCGGGAAACGUGGGUCGUAAUAACCGGAUAUGACUCCAUGACGCAUGUUUGGUGGGGUGGAAAGACCUUGUGCGGCUGAGGAUGGGCCCGCGGCC
RNAcentral lists this ribosomal RNA (218 nucleotides) under uncultured bacterium. Its description in RNAcentral is "partial 16S ribosomal RNA". It matches the Rfam family "Bacterial small subunit ribosomal RNA", at positions 28 to 238 of the family's 1533-position model. The record is from RNAcentral.